UGGGGAAUCUUGCGCAAUGGGCGAAAGCCUGACGCAGCGACGCCGCGUGGGUGAUGAAGGCCUUCGGGUUGUAAAGCCCUGUGGGGAGAGACGAAUAAGGUGCAGCUAAUACCUGUAUUGAUGACGGUAUCUCCUUAGCAAGCACCGGCUAACUCUGUGCCAGCAGCCGCGGUAAGACAGAGGGUGCAAACGUUGUUCGGAAUUACUGGGCGUAAAGCGCGUGUAGGCGGUGAGGUUAGUCGGAUGUGAA
RNAcentral lists this ribosomal RNA (250 nucleotides) under uncultured bacterium. RNAcentral's name for it is "partial 16S ribosomal RNA". It matches the Rfam family "Bacterial small subunit ribosomal RNA", at positions 355 to 598 of the family's 1533-position model. The record is from RNAcentral.